This 253-nucleotide ribosomal RNA is filed under the name uncultured prokaryote. Its description in RNAcentral is "partial 16S ribosomal RNA". It matches the Rfam family "Bacterial small subunit ribosomal RNA", at positions 524 to 776 of the family's 1533-position model. The record is from RNAcentral.
UACGGAGGGUGCAAGCGUUAUCCGGAUUCACUGGGUUUAAAGGGUGCGUAGGUGGGCAAGUAAGUCAGUGGUGAAAUCUCCGGGCUUAACCCGGAAACUGCCAUUGAUACUAUUUGUCUUGAAUACUGUGGAGGUCAGCGGAAUAUGUCAUGUAGAGGUGAAAUUCUUAGAUAUGACACAGAACACCAAUUGCGAAGGCAGCUCGCUAAACUGUAACUGACGCUGAGGCACGAAAGCGUGGGGAUCAAACAGG